RNAcentral lists this long non-coding RNA (908 nucleotides) under Heterocephalus glaber (naked mole-rat). RNAcentral's name for it is "lncRNA (ENSHGLG00000049283.1)". The record is from RNAcentral. Lineage: Eukaryota; Metazoa; Chordata; Mammalia; Rodentia; Bathyergidae.
GCCUCUUAUUGCUUCUUGCUACUAGAAGCUACCUUCUUCCUCCUACUAUUUAGACAGCAGCCAGCACACUGGGAGAUGCUAUGUAUAGGACAGCUGUAUCAAAUACACCAAAAGUGAUGGGAAAUCACUUCUGAGAGAAACUGUGAAAAGGCCUCUGACUGAAUCUUGCUCGUCCUCUAUACUCACCCUGAGGAAGCCAGCUGCCGUCUUGCUAAUUGCCCUGAAAGGUCCACAUGGGAAUGAACUGAAGGGAGGCCACCAGCCAGAAGUAAGCAAAGAAUGGAGGCCCUCAAAGUCUACUGGCAGUUGAAUCCUGCCAGCAAGCAUGAUGGUGAGCUUGGAAAUGAAUUCUCCACCUCCCCGAAUCCAGCCUUCAGACAGGACUACAGCUCUGUCUGACUGCCCAGAACCUUGAUUGCAGGAUUGUGAGAGAUUUUGAAGCAGAUGCACUCAGCUAACCAGUGCCUGGAUUGCUGCCCCACAGAAACUCUGGAAGACUUGCUAUCCUAAGAGCUGGUAUGGCAGAUGGCAUUGAGAACACCAGUAGGAAAUCUCGAGGUUUUCACCACCCCAAAUCUGGAGACCUGGAUCAUACAGACCCAGUUCAAAGAAGAACUCUUGUUCAGUGGCAAAUAAUCCAUGGCUGGGUACCUGUCCUUAGAUAUGGGAGCUACAAGUGGUGCACACCAGUUAACUGCCACUUCACAGUGGGCAUCAAGCGGGCUCCGGUCGUCAGGCUGUGCAGAGAGGGAAGAACAGAGGACCACGAGCCUCAGGAAACUUCCCACCACCAGCAAAUUGCGUGAGAUGAACCCAAUCUUCAGCCUCAUCUUCCUCCGGCAGUGAGAGACACACAGCCGCCGGGCACAGCCUUCGCCAGGGCUCUCCCCACCCUCCUUCCCCCUCCG